Rhipicephalus microplus (southern cattle tick) is the source of this 183-nucleotide small nuclear RNA. Lineage: Eukaryota; Metazoa; Arthropoda; Arachnida; Ixodida; Ixodidae. The record is from RefSeq and is a predicted model, not a curated record.
GUCUAUUCGUUGCCUCUUUCGAUAACCCCUCCCUUUUCUUAUUAGCUUAAUAUGUGAUACGGAUUUAUUUGUAUCCAAGAUAAUAAUGAUGUUUUUGGAAUGCGGCGCAGUGCUUGAAGCUUGCUUCAACUCCACCACGGGUCGGCCCGGUAUUGCAUUAUCUCCGUGAUCAGCCCACUCACC